GAUGAACGCUGGCGGCGUGCCUAAUACAUGCAAGUCGAACGCUUCACUUCGGUGAAGAGUGGCGAACGGGUGAGUAAUACGUAAGUAACCUGGCAUCUACAGGGGGAUAACUGAUGGAAACGUCAGCUAAGACCGCAUAGGUGUAGAGAUCGCAUGAACUCUAUAUGAAAAGUGCUACGGGACUGGUAGAUGAUGGACUUAUGGCGCAUUAGCUUGUUGGUAGGGUAACGGCCUACCAAGGCGACGAUGCGUAGCCGACCUGAGAGGGUGACCGGCCACACUGGGACUGAGACACGGCCCAGACUCCUACGGGAGGCAGCAGUAGGGAAUUUUCGGCAAUGGGGGAAACCCUGACCGAGCAACGCCGCGUGAAGGAAGAAGUAAUUCGUUAUGUAAACUUCUGUCAUAGAGGAAGAACGGUGGAUAUAGGGAAUGAUAUCCAAGUGACGGUACUCUAUAAGAAAGCCACGGCUAACUACGUG
Molecule: ribosomal RNA, 482 nt
Filed under: uncultured bacterium
Lineage: Bacteria
Description: partial 16S ribosomal RNA
Rfam family: Bacterial small subunit ribosomal RNA
Source: RNAcentral